This 286-nucleotide long non-coding RNA is filed under the name Setaria viridis. RNAcentral's name for it is "long non-coding RNA (SVIR_LNC004123)". The record is from RNAcentral. Lineage: Eukaryota; Viridiplantae; Streptophyta; Magnoliopsida; Poales; Poaceae.
AACUCUGGGGGCGGCCAUGCAACUCGAGUGCGGCUGUCGCGUCGGAUCUGGAAAAGAUCUCGCGGGUCCACCUGUGGAUAGAUCUGACGGGGGAGGGAGAUCAGCAGGAUCCGUCGGUGGGCUGAGCUCGCCGGGGUCGGGAGAGGGGCGAAGCAGGAAGGGGUCGGAUCUCAGGGGUCGGGACCGGCGGAAAACUGGGCACUUAGGUGCGGUCAAGCCAAACAGCUGACUAAGGUUAAGGGCUGGGAUUAAGCCUAACUGGGAAGGCUUAGGGGUCGGUCGUUAC